UACGAAGGGGGCUAGCGUUGUUCGGAAUUACUGGGCGUAAAGGGCGCGUAGGCGGCGCGUUAAGUCAGGUGUGAAAGCCCUGGGCUCAACCCAGGAAUUGCACUUGAUACUGACGUGCUUGAAUCCGGAAGAGGAUGACGGAAUUCCCAGUGUAGAGGUGAAAUUCAUUGAUAUUGGGAAGAACACCAGUGGCGAAGGCGGUCAUCUGGUCCGGUAUUGACGCUGAGGCGCGAAAGCGUGGGGAGCAAACAGG
This 253-nucleotide ribosomal RNA is filed under the name Rhodospirillales bacterium. RNAcentral's name for it is "partial 16S ribosomal RNA". It matches the Rfam family "Bacterial small subunit ribosomal RNA", at positions 524 to 776 of the family's 1533-position model. RNAcentral also lists the same sequence under 1 other name. The record is from RNAcentral. Lineage: Bacteria; Pseudomonadati; Pseudomonadota; Alphaproteobacteria; Rhodospirillales.